This is a long non-coding RNA of Mustela erminea (ermine), 1458 nucleotides long. RefSeq lists it as uncharacterized. Lineage: Eukaryota; Metazoa; Chordata; Mammalia; Carnivora; Mustelidae. The record is from RefSeq and is a predicted model, not a curated record. The transcript has 2 exons.
AAAAAUACCGGCCAGACCAGAAGUGUGAUACUCUUUUGGCAACAGCAUUAAGUCAGCCACAUGGACUUCAUUUGGCAACUAAAGGGUGUGAAUACGUGUUCAGGUUCCGAGGCUCCCCCGGACAAUGGUUACAAUAUGUUGGCUCAAGCAAGCUAAUGGAUUUCAGUGUCGGGCAUUUAAAAAUUCCGUGUUCAAGCAGCAAUCACGGUAUGACGAGCCGUCAGCUCGACCCUGCUCUCCUUCCUCGUGCGGCUGGAGGGAAGCACGCAGGGCACGUUCUGAGGGAAAGAUGCAGCAUUUGCAAUUUCAUGUCUAAUUUCCUGGCUGUUUAUCAGCCGAAGCAACCCCAGGAAGCUCAAUUUCGCUUCUAAUCUUUCAGAGGAGCUGAUAAGUGAGAGGGAAAGAAGCGCCCCAGCUCCUCCGAGCUACGGAUCUCCGAAGUCGCUGGAAAACCUGCCGGCCGACGAAUCUCUCCGCCCGAGAAGCUUUCCCUGUAACACCCGCCUCCUCUCAAGCGAAGGAGACCAAGGGGCGGUGGCGAGAGAGGACUAGCUCGCCUGUGUCUGUCUGCUUACACUGGGCGGGCUUCCAUUCUCCUUGCUUUUCCUUUCUUUUGGUUUCUUUUCCUUUUGAGCUGAUAUCAACUCGUAUAUAGGAACAUUCAGCAGAUUCCAACUGGUGACAGUUUGCUGCUGCCUGGCCACAGGGCGAAGAAUCACCAUUUACUGUAUGUUUCUCACUGGUCAGUGGCUCUCGGGCCAGACUCCCACCUUGGCCGUCUUCCUGCAUCAGUCGGAUCUUCCUUAUGUUCCUUUCCCUUCAAUCCUCCUUCGGCCUCGGAUAUUUGGAAAAGGAAGAUAAGGGACACACUGAAAACAGAAAGGCGAUCUGAAGUCUGCCUUGACGCAUGUGCAGAAGUGUGACCUCCCAAGUGUGACCUCCAGAACACUCGCAGUUCUGUCCCUGGGCCUCCCUGGAACAGACCGCCAGUCACUGCGAACUGCGGCAGGAUGAAGAUGUUUGUGUAAAGUGGACUCGAGUUCUCUAGACCCAAGGAGGAAACCACCGGACUAAUUUUACCUUCACUUAAACCAGACUGAAACCAAGACUCAAGAAUGAAAAACCUUGUCAUUAACCAUCCAUUCACCUCAGUGAGAUAUUAUGUUACAACCAGAAUCGUUGUGGAAUUCGAAUGAUUUUGAUGGGAUAUUUAACCAGGGGCUUAAAUUAAAUUGAAUAUUUUCUCUAGUGAACAGUCUAUGGUCAAAUUUCUGUUUUCAUUAAAUUAUAUGAAGCGUCAUAUUCUCAACUCAUGUUGAACCUGCAACACAUCACUAAUUACAUCUGGGAUUUCAGUAACAAAUGUUGUGGCACAGCGGCCUCAUGAAAUGCCUAAAAUGCUAAGAAUCGGAACACCUCAAAGUUGUUUUCAUUCUUGGCAUUUAGACUUAAAAAAAA